AUUGAACGCUGGCGGCAGGCCUAACACAUGCAAGUCGAGCGGUAGAGAGAAGCUUGCUUCUCUUGAUAGCGGCGGACGGGUGAGUAAUGCCUAGGAAUCUGCCUGGUAGUGGGGGAUAACGUUCGGAAACGGACGCUAUUACCGCAUACGUCCUACGGGAGAAAGCAGGGGACCUUCGGGCCUUGCGCUAUCAGAUGAGCCUAGGUCGGAUUAGCUAGUUGGUGGGGUAAUGGCUCACCAAGGCGACGAUCCGUAACUGGUCUGAGAGGAUGAUCAGUCACACUGGAACUGAGACACGGUCCAGACUCCUACGGGAGGCAGCAGUGGGGAAUAUUGGACAAUGGGCGAAAGCCUGAUCCAGCCAUGCCGCGUGUGUGAAGAAGGUCUUCGGAUUGUAAAGCACUUUAAGUUGGGAGGAAGGGCAGUAAAUUAAUACUUUGCUGUUUUGACGUUACCGACAGAAUAAGCACCGGCUAACUCUGUG
Molecule: ribosomal RNA, 484 nt
Filed under: uncultured bacterium
Lineage: Bacteria
Description: partial 16S ribosomal RNA
Rfam family: Bacterial small subunit ribosomal RNA
Source: RNAcentral